This 601-nucleotide unclassified non-coding RNA is filed under the name Hevea brasiliensis (rubber tree). Lineage: Eukaryota; Viridiplantae; Streptophyta; Magnoliopsida; Malpighiales; Euphorbiaceae. The record is from RNAcentral.
GAGAUUUGAAUUUAUCACAAUGCAGAAUACCAGCCAAUCCACCAGCCGAGCAGCCUGAAAGAAUAGCAUUCUGAGCAUUUUUCAUGCCUUUGGCCAAUAAAUCAUCGAUAACAGCCUGCCAAACUCUUUCUCCUCUGAAGUACAGUUGAGUUUUGGGAUCAACUGCUUCCACAUCACCAGUAAACGAUGACCCAUCACAGUACUUAAUCUUGAUUCUAUUCCAGUUGUAAAAAUCAGGAUUAGCUGCUUGCUUGCUCCCUAGUAUGCCAGAGAAACCCAUUGUCUUCUCCAUUUUCGAUGAUGAACCCUUGUAUGUGUUCUUUCUUUCCAGGCAGCUUGUGAUAUCAUCACACCAUCCUCCUCCCUCCAUGUGAACCAACCAGUUAUUAAUUCCAGAACCAGAUCCCCUUUGCAAGUGAUAAGCUGGUGGACUUCCAUCCAAACAUACAGCUCCUUUAGCUUUUGCAGUUUCAACAAUAGUAAUAGGAAUGCCACCUCCUUCUGCUCUGAUCAGCAAUAAUAAACAGACUAGAAAUAAAAGAUAACACCACUGAUGACUAAAUCUUGAAUCACCCAUUUCUGUACUAGUUAGAAAAGAAAA